AUUGAACGCUGGCGGCAGGCUUAACACAUGCAAGUCGAGCGGGGGAAGGUAGCUUGCUACUGGACCUAGCGGCGGACGGGUGAGUAAUGCUUAGGAAUCUGCCUAUUAGUGGGGGACAACAUCUCGAAAGGGAUGCUAAUACCGCAUACGUCCUGCGGGAGAAAGCAGGGGAUCUUCGGACCUUGCGCUAAUAGAUGAGCCUAAGUCGGAUAGCUAGUUGGUGGGGUAAAGGCCUACCAAGGCGACGAUCUGUAGCGGGUCUGAGAGGAUGAUCCGCCACACUGGGACUGAGACACGGCCCAGACUCCUACGGGAGGCAGCAGUGGGGAAUAUUGGACAAUGGGGGGAACCCUGAUCCAGCCAUGCCGCGUGUGUGAAGAAGGCCUUAUGGUUGUAAAGCACUUUAAGCGAGGAGGAGGCUACUCUAGUUAAUACCUAGGGAUAGUGGACGUUACUCGCAGAAUAAGCACCGGCUAACUCUGUGCCAGCCGCCGCGGUAA
Molecule: ribosomal RNA, 500 nt
Filed under: uncultured bacterium
Lineage: Bacteria
Description: partial 16S ribosomal RNA
Rfam family: Bacterial small subunit ribosomal RNA
Source: RNAcentral